RNAcentral lists this ribosomal RNA (646 nucleotides) under uncultured Microvirgula sp. Its description in RNAcentral is "bacterial SSU rRNA". It matches the Rfam family "Bacterial small subunit ribosomal RNA", at positions 66 to 705 of the family's 1533-position model. The record is from RNAcentral. Lineage: Bacteria; Pseudomonadati; Pseudomonadota; Betaproteobacteria; Neisseriales; Aquaspirillaceae.
ACGGUAACAGGGGAGCUUGCUCCCGCUGACGAGUGGCGAACGGGUGAGUAAUGCAUCGGAACGUGCCGAAUAGUGGGGGAUAACGCACCGAAAGGUGUGCUAAUACCGCAUACGCCCUGAGGGGGAAAGUGGGGGACCGCAAGGCCUCACGCUAAUUGAGCGGCCGAUGUCGGAUUAGCUAGUUGGUGGGGUAAAGGCUCACCAAGGCGACGAUCCGUAGCGGGUCUGAGAGGAUGAUCCGCCACACUGGGACUGAGACACGGCCCAGACUCCUACGGGAGGCAGCAGUGGGGAAUUUUGGACAAUGGGGGAAACCCUGAUCCAGCCAUGCCGCGUGUCUGAAGAAGGCCUUCGGGUUGUAAAGGACUUUUGUCCGGGAGGAAACCCUGAUCGUUAAUAGCGGUCGGGACUGACAGUACCGGAAGAAUAAGCACCGGCUAACUACGUGCCAGCAGCCGCGGUAAUACGUAGGGUGCAAGCGUUAAUCGGAAUUACUGGGCGUAAAGCGUGCGCAGGCGGUGAGAUAAGUCAGCUGUGAAAGCCCCGGGCUCAACCUGGGAACUGCGGCCGAAACUGUCUCGCUAGAGUACGUCAGAGGGGGGUGGAAUUCCACGUGUAGCAGUGAAAUGCGUAGAGAUGUGGAGGA